Molecule: ribosomal RNA, 174 nt
Filed under: uncultured Tissierellia bacterium
Lineage: Bacteria; Bacillati; Bacillota; Tissierellia
Description: partial 16S ribosomal RNA
Rfam family: Bacterial small subunit ribosomal RNA
Source: RNAcentral
UACUCCUACGGGAGGCAGCAGUGGGGAAUAUUGCACAAUGGGCGAAAGCCUGAUGCAGCAACGCCGCGUGAGCGAUGAAGGCCUUCGGGUCGUAAAGCUCUGUCCUCAAGGAAGAUAAUGACGGUACUUGAGGAGGAAGCCCCGGCUAACUACGUGCCAGCAGCCGCGGUAAUA